Long non-coding RNA from Salvia miltiorrhiza (redroot sage), 938 nucleotides. RefSeq lists it as uncharacterized. NCBI's taxonomy places the organism in Eukaryota, Viridiplantae, Streptophyta, Magnoliopsida, Lamiales, Lamiaceae. The record is from RefSeq and is a predicted model, not a curated record. The transcript is spliced from 2 exons.
UUAUUCCCUUGGCAGACGUCCAACCCCUUCCCCAUCAAACCUCCAUUCUUUUUAUUUGCAAGCUCAAAUCUUAGCCUCUAAAAUCUCAAAUAUCAUUCAUAGAUCACAGAUUGAGGUUUGAGUGGCAGUGUAGAAUAAACAAGCAAGGACUUCUAUUUCAUUAAGCGUAUCAGGUGGGCUUACUAACUCAAGAAGUAAAGAUGCAUACUUUAUUAUAUAAAGUUUGAGUGUAUGCAUUUAUUUUCCAAUUAUUGACUUGCCAAUAUUUGAGAUUUGUAUGAUACCAUCUACAUAGAAGAACGAAUUCGGAUCCUGAGCGAGUCAGGAUUUGUGUACACAGAGUUGACAGUUAACCUUUGAGUUAGCUUGUCAUCGCGUUUGAGAAAGAUGCCUACUUCUCAACACUCAGAGUUAUAUGAUGCGUAGAUAUGGUACAUACAUGUUAAUUGUCUGCAGACGUAUAUGAUGUUAUGAUGAUUAUAGAGAAGUUUUACAGUUUUGCAUACACAGGUUAUUUAAAUAAAACUCCUGUGUGAUGUUUAAGAUGGCAAGUUCAAUAUAUAGCUCUAAGAGCAAGCUUUUAAGUUAUUUCGGCAUGACCACUGAGUGCUUUUUGGUACUCAGCCCUGCGUAUGUUUCUAAAUAUGCAGGUUAAGCUAUGAUGCAGAUGGUAGCAAGCAGAGUAAAACCCUCGGUGUAUAUAUAUAUAAUUUAGGCUCGGGAUUUCAUGUCCUCAUACAUGUAAUCCACUUGAGUUAUUUCCGCUGCAACACUUAAUGUACUUUACUUUAUUGAUGUGUUGUAGAGAUUUUAAACCAAUAGCUUCAAAAAUUAUAUCACUUAGACAACUUGUCGUUGUGUUGUUGUAAGUUGUCUACUCGUGAGUUUUAAAAGUGAUUGUAUAUGAUUACCAGACAUUAUGGUAAAGUAUUGCUUAA